GACUAACCUAGCCUCCCGCACGCUCGCACGCGCACGAAGCACAUCAGGCGCACGAGCAGCGGGCUCCCAAUAACCUAGCCGCCGGCCGCCAGACGCCACCUCCUAGUCUGGCGCCGCCUCCCCACCUCCUCGUCGUGCGAUACGUCCUCGCCGGGCGCCGCCUCCCCGCUUCCUCGCCGUGCGUUGCGUCCUCGCCGGACGUCGCCUCCCCGCUUCCUCGCCGUGCGCCGCGUACUCGCCGGGCGCCGCCUCCCCGCCAGACUGCCGCCUGCCGGGGAGCUCGUCGCCCACGACGCCCAGGGCUCUCUGCAGGUCGCCGGAUCCGCCGCCUCCCCACUGGACGCCGGACGCCGUCUCCACUCUCCAGUCUCCAGAGUCCCAGUCCAGAGCAGUUCGAACUUCGAAAAAUGAAGAGAAAGAGGACCCUGCAUAGUUGGUUUGCAAGUAGUUCAAAUACACUUCCUAUAGUUUCAAAAUUUGGUUCAAAAUUUGAUAAUUUCUAAAAAAUCAAGAAAAAUUCUGGUAUAUAGUACGUGUUUCCAGGGAAAGUUUCAGUUUAUUUGUACAAAAGGACUAGGAGAUAAGCAUCUUUUUCUUCAAAAGAGCGUUCGAUUUUCUCGGCUUAAACUUUGAGCCCACCCUCCAUUUUUUCUCUAGAUUCGCCACUGGUAGGGUGUGCGUGUGUGUGUUCAUAGGGGUGAGUGUAUGCGCAUGUAUAUGAGCGCUUGUGUCUGUAUUGAUGCUCAAAAAAAGUGAUGGGAGGUUAAUUCUAAAGUAUAUAUGUUAAGCUCCAAUAUAUUACGCUCAUCAAAUCCUUGAAGUAUACUUUAUUCUCCUAUCAUCACUUGUUGAAUUCCUUUCUCUUACUUUUUA
Triticum aestivum (bread wheat) is the source of this 873-nucleotide long non-coding RNA. RefSeq lists it as uncharacterized. The record is from RefSeq and is a predicted model, not a curated record. NCBI's taxonomy places the organism in Eukaryota, Viridiplantae, Streptophyta, Magnoliopsida, Poales, Poaceae. The transcript has 2 exons.